AACGAACGCUGGCGGCAUGCCUAACACAUGCCAGUCGAACGAGACCUUCUGGUCUAGUGGCGCAAGGGUGCGUAACGCGUGGGAACCUGCCCUUAGGUUCUGAAUAACUCCCCGAAAGGGGUGCUAAUACCGGAUAAUGUCUUCGGACCAAAGAUUUAUCGCCUUUGGAUGGGCCCGCGUUGGAUUAGCUAGUUGGUAGGGUAAAAGCCUACCAAGGCGACGAUCCAUAGCUGGUCUGAGAGGAUGAUCAGCCACACUGGGACUGAGACACGGCCCAGACUCCUACGGGAGGCAGCAGUGGGGAAUAGUGGAAAAUGGGCGAAAGCCUGAUCCAGCAAUGCCGCGUGAGUGAUGAAGGCCUUAGGGUUGGAAAGCUCUUUUAACAGGGAGGAUAAUGACAGUACCGGGAGAAUAAGCUCCGGCUAACUCCGUG
Molecule: ribosomal RNA, 433 nt
Filed under: uncultured bacterium
Lineage: Bacteria
Description: partial 16S ribosomal RNA
Rfam family: Bacterial small subunit ribosomal RNA
Source: RNAcentral